CGGCGUACGGGUGAGUAACACGUGGGUGAUCUACCUCUUAGUGGGGAAUAACCCUGGGAAACCGGGGCUAAUACCGCAUAAGCCUUAGCAGGGAAAGCAGCAAUGCGCUGAGAGAGGAGCCCGCGGCUGAUUAGCUAGUUGGUGAGGUAAAGGCCCACCAAGGUAUAGAUCGGUAGCCGGCCUGAGAGGGCACACGGCCACACUGGCACUGAAACACGGCCCAG
This 224-nucleotide ribosomal RNA is filed under the name uncultured bacterium. RNAcentral's name for it is "partial 16S ribosomal RNA". It matches the Rfam family "Bacterial small subunit ribosomal RNA", at positions 96 to 334 of the family's 1533-position model. The record is from RNAcentral.